GUAGGUGGCAAGCGUUGUCCGGAAUUAUUGGGCGUAAAGCGCGCGCAGGCGGUCCUUUAGGUCUGAUGUGAAAGCCCACGGCUCAACCGUGGAGGGUCAUUGGAAACUGGGGGACUUGAGUACAGAAGAGGAAAGCGGAAUUCCAAGUGUAGCGGUGAAAUGCGUAGAGAUUUGGAGGAACACCAGUGGCGAAGGCGGCUUUCUGGUCUGUAACUGACGCUGAGGCGCGAAAGCGUGGGGAGCAAACAGGGAUUAGAUACCCUGGUAGUCCACGCCGUAAACGAUGAGUGCUAAGUGUUAGGGGGUUUCCCGCCCCCUUAGUGCUGCAGCUAACGCAUUAAGCACUCCGCCUGGGGAGUACGGCCGCAAGGCUG
RNAcentral lists this ribosomal RNA (374 nucleotides) under uncultured organism. Its description in RNAcentral is "partial 16S ribosomal RNA". It matches the Rfam family "Bacterial small subunit ribosomal RNA", at positions 527 to 896 of the family's 1533-position model. The record is from RNAcentral.